This 2193-nucleotide unclassified non-coding RNA is filed under the name Hevea brasiliensis (rubber tree). Lineage: Eukaryota; Viridiplantae; Streptophyta; Magnoliopsida; Malpighiales; Euphorbiaceae. The record is from RNAcentral.
AGUCACCUCACAAGAUUUGCUGCAAUGAGUUCUAGUUUAACAGUGAUCGAAAUCAAAUAAAAAAACACACACACGCACAAGAUUGCUUGUUCUCAUUAGGAGCAAUUCUUGAUUUGCUUUUCAAGAUGCUACAGUUGUUUGUCUGCUUUUAAUUAUGAUAAAAACAAGCUUCUAUUAAUUGGAAAUAAACAAGGAAAAAAGUAAACAAGAAAAACAAAAGAUUUAGAAUCAUCAAAAACCAAGCUAUUAAUUAAAGCAAUCCUAUGAGUGGAAAGAAACCUUAUUUUUAAACAUGACUUUUACUUUUUCCCCUGUAAAGCAACCAUGCAAUUGAGAUAUGGACCCAUUAAUAAGAGAGGAAGUGACAGAAUCAAUCCCAAUGCUUUUCAGGAAUCAAGAUACUGCUGCUGCUGCUGAGUGCUGGCAUGAAAAUCGAAGCCAAUAGUUAGAUCUGUAAUCUAAAGAACAAGAUCAACAAAGAUUCAAAUUUCUGAGGGAAAAAAAAAAGUGAUAGUUACUGAUCCCUUUCACUUUCAGACAGUAUUUUGAGACCAAAGACCUCGCUUUUGUCCCCCUCUUUAUGCCACAAUACCUUGAGUCUUCACCUGUACUUUAGACAUUCUAAAGCACUUUCGCCUCAUUGCUUGUAUUACAAAUAUUCCUUCAAUAAAGAGAAAAAGAGAGACAACUUGAACCAUACUUAUGGAAAAUGACCUUCACAAUAAUGCAUUUUUAUUAAAAUUUCAAUUUUUCUUGUAACAUACCAAGAAGGAACUAUAUCAACCUUCUGUGUAUAAACAAGAAUUCCAUGUCAAAUUAUACUUGGCCUCUCAUGGGCUGUAGCUGCCAUUGAAUACGAAUCUUGGCUUCAAAAGUUCUUAUGAGAACAAUCUGCAUCCUGUUACCCUGUGGAAUUCUUGGUGAGGGAACGAAUCUACCCCCCUGAUGUAGGAGGAUGAUCUUCGCUAAUCUUGAUCUCCACAAGUUCCUGGAUGGUUUGGCGGCAUAUUGGGCACUUAACACUGCUAAAAAAAAAGUUUAUGCAUCUAAAGAUAUAUAAGUGAAAUGACAGUCUACAAAUGGUGACUCAGAAGAACCAGAAAGUCCGGUUCAGAAUCGAACCGAAAUUGAUCAAAAUUAACUUUCAACCAGAUAAAAAUCUAACUUUUUCUUUAAAAAAAAAAAGAUAAAAAAAUAAUUUUAAUCAUUAGAUUUGAUCAAAACCGAACCGAAUAAAAAACGAAACCAAAACCUAAACUUUGAACUGGAACUAGUACAUCUACUUAGUAGAAUGAAACAAAUUAUAUUCCAAUAAACAUGACAGAUAUUAAGUGCAUCCCAACAUCCUGAGGUCAAAUAACUCAGUCCCAACUAGAUUUAAACAUUUAAAACACAGUUAAAUUGUCAUCUUAAGCUCUUUAUGGCUUCAAAUCCUAAAUGUGGCCAUUUGAGAUUCACCUGUAAAACUAGGACAGCACUAAUAAGUCCACAUUGAUGAUCUAUUGAUCUUCAUUCACUCAUCAGAAAAGUAAGCAAGCCAGCGUCUCAUGUCAGACAACCAAUGCAAGCACACAUCUACUGAUCAAAAUCAGAUCAAACAUGGCUUUUUUGGAGGCUAAUUGUACAAGUAAUAAAAAUUUAACGUCCAUAGAGAAGAGUAAUAAUAAGAAUAUAUAUGCUUAAGAUCAGUAUUCUAUCUCACCAUAUGUCGACAAGGCAAAAACAGCUGUAUCCUUUGGCUCAGUCAUGCAAAUGACACAUUCUUUCCCUGACACAUGGGAAUUGCCAAAGCCAUAAAUUAAUCUCACGUAGCUCAUAAUGAAUCCCAUCAACCCACAAUAUUUGCUUCAUUAUUUUCACUUGAAAAUGGCCCUUAUUAUUCUUGUCCAAGACUGCUUGAGUAAUCUGUGCAUGAGGAGACAUGGUCGGCAGAGGCUGAUCAUCAGGUUCUGCAGCUGCAAAGAAAGAAGACAGGCACGCUUCUGCACAGAUAACAAGGGGGAACAUAUCUUCCUCUGGUGUGGGCUUUGAUAGCUGAUCCAACUCAAGGAAGCCCAAGUCAAUUCCAGUUCCUGAUGGCUGACAGAAUUUUUGGCCCAGUCCUCUCUUGAAGGGAGUUCUCCAUGGCACAUAGAUUUCAGGGUACAAAGGCACAAAUCUACAGUUCACUUCUUCCUUGGCAAAGUAAGAUAU